CCUGUCUUUUUUUUUUUUCGCGGGCUUGUCCUUUCCAGUAGCUAGCAAAGCCUCUCUGCCGGGUCAGCGGUGGACGCUUCGGUCACAAACUUUAACUUCGCGUUGGAAGCAGCGUUUUGUUUUGUUUUUUUGUUUUUUGUUUUUUUCCCCCUCCCUGUCACGCUGUCUUCAGGCUGGGGCCUGAAGCGACUUUCCAAAGAGUUCCUCUGGAGGGGACGAGGACCACUGGCUCGCCAAGCAGAUUUUGGGGCUGCAGGAAGGACGAGAGGAGAAUAAAGAUGCGGGAAUGGUCUUCAGAGCAGAAAAAUCCUUUAAGUGUAAUUGAUGGAAAGAUGUGUUCCAUGAAGGAGAUGACGAACACCAUCUGCUGACAGUUCAUCAAUAGGUGUUUGAGCGGUGGAGGCAGGGCAGAAUCAGCAACAUGAAGGGCCGGUAGAUAGAGAGCCAAGGCAUGCUGUCCUCUCAAAACGCUUUUGCUGAUAAUCAGGAUUCAGCCUUCGCUAAUGCAGGAGGUAGAGAGGCUUUUGCUCAGGGGGAAACAAAAUCUGUGUCUGUGCGUGUGCUCGUGCGUGUGUGCAUGUGAGAGAGAGAGAGAGAGAGUGUGUGUGUGCAAGUUACAAGAUAACAAGAAGCCUCUAACCUCUACCGUGAGGUCAGCGGAGACCUCCAGCGGUCAUAUUUGAGGUUAAAUGCUAUGUGAAGGCAAGGUGCUUGGGAAAGGUUAAAGUGACUCACAGUACAUCUGGGUACCACACGAAAGUAACAAAACCAAGAAGGGAAAAAUGUAGUCCGCUAGAUGGAGGGAAAUGUCUGUUUUCUUUAGUGUGAUCCCUGUGGGAGGCGCUGCUGCAUGCUGUCUACUUGGUACAAGAGUUAAUGUAAGGGUGCCGAAAGGAUCAAUUUUUCAGUCAGCCGAGAAUGAAUCAAUGGCAGGUUUAAUAAUCGACUAAUUACCAAUCAUUUGCUGGUUACUGUAAAAAUUCCUUAAUGUGAGAAAGAUUUGCAGCUUUUUUCUGUUUCAUAUCUAGUCAAGUUUUCAUCUAGAACUUACGCAAAUUUUACCCAAAUUUCCAGAAAAUUGGUUCACUGAGGAAAAACAGUUGGUGGUGCUGAUUCUGUAGUCAGGUGCCAUUAAACCACUGCAGAAGUAGAGAGCUCAAGAGAUGACAUACGAAAAGAGCACCAGUCAAACCUCAAAUGACGGAAAACAUAGA
This is a long non-coding RNA of Xiphias gladius (swordfish), 1214 nucleotides long. RefSeq lists it as uncharacterized. The transcript is spliced from 3 exons. NCBI's taxonomy places the organism in Eukaryota, Metazoa, Chordata, Actinopteri, Istiophoriformes, Xiphiidae. The record is from RefSeq and is a predicted model, not a curated record.